UCAGGACGAACGCUGGCGGCGUGCCUAAUACAUGCAAGUCGAGCGGAUCGAUGGGAGCUUGCUCCCUGAGAUCAGCGGCGGACGGGUGAGUAACACGUGGGUAACCUGCCUGUAAGACUGGGAUAACUCCGGGAAACCGGGGCUAAUACCGGAUAACUCAGUUCCUCGCAUGAGGAACUGUUGAAAGGUGGCUUUUCGCUACCACUUACAGAUGGACCCGCGGCGCAUUAGCUAGUUGGUGAGGUAACGGCUCACCAAGGCAACGAUGCGUAGCCGACCUGAGAGGGUGAUCGGCCACACUGGGACUGAGACACGGCCCAGACUCCUACGGGAGGCAGCAGUAGGGAAUCUUCCGCAAUGGACGAAAGUCUGACGGAGCAACGCCGCGUGAGUGAAGAAGGUUUUCGGAUCGUAAAACUCAUGUUGUUAGGGAAGAACAAGUGCCGUUCGAAUAGGGCGGCACCUUGACGGUACCUAACCAGAAAGCCACGGCUAACUACGUGCCAGCAGCCGCGGUAAUACGUAGGUGGCAAGCGUUGUCCGAAUUAUUGGGCGUAAGCGCGCGCA
Molecule: ribosomal RNA, 567 nt
Filed under: Bacillus sp. 12G(2010)
Lineage: Bacteria; Bacillati; Bacillota; Bacilli; Caryophanales; Bacillaceae
Description: bacterial SSU rRNA
Rfam family: Bacterial small subunit ribosomal RNA
Source: RNAcentral